Molecule: ribosomal RNA, 376 nt
Filed under: Strombidium sp.
Lineage: Eukaryota; Ciliophora; Spirotrichea; Strombidiidae
Description: partial small subunit ribosomal RNA
Rfam family: Eukaryotic small subunit ribosomal RNA
Source: RNAcentral
AUUCCAGCUCCAAUAGCGUAUAUUAAAGUUGUUGCAGUUAAAAAGCUCGUAGUUGGACUUCUGGCAGGGCGCCGCGUGCCACAGUAGUGCGCACAAGGGCCCGGCCAUCCUUCUGUAAACGUCGGGGAAGUUUAUUCGUCCGCGGCGGGAUCAGUUAAUUUACCUUGAGAAAAUUAGAGUGUUUCAGGCAGGCGUAACCGGAAUACAUUAGCAUGGAAUAAUGGAAUAGGACUUAGUCUCUUUGUUGGUUCGAGGGACUGGAGUAAUGAUUAAUAGGGAUAGUUGGGGGCAUUAGUAUUUAUUAGCUAGAGGUGGAAUUCUCUAAUUUGAUAAAGACUAACUUAUGCGAAAGCAUUUGCCAAGGAUGUUUUCAUCA